UUAAUCCUAGCACUCAGGAGGCAGAGGAGUUCCAAGACAGCCAAGACUACACAGAGAAACUCUGUCUCAAAAAACCAAAGCCAAAACCAAAACAACAACAGCAACAACAAAAAAACAACCAAAUAAACAAACAAAAAACCCAAGAGUGGAAUUAUAUCAUUUACAGGCAAAUAGAUGUGAGUGGAGACAAUCAUAUUAAGUGAAUUAGGUUACUCCAGAAAGAAUAGGUUAAUCCAGAAAUAUCAAAUGUCUUCUUUCCUAUGUGGUUCCUAGAUUUUUAAAGACUUAUUUUUAUUUGUGUGUAUCUGAGUGUGAGUUUGUGCAUGUAGGUGGGUUUGUGCGUGUGCAUGCAGUGCCUAAGGAGACCAGAAGAGGGCACCAGACACCCUGGAGGUGGAGUUCAAGGUGACUGUGAGCUGCCUAAUCUGGGUGCUGGGAACUGAGCUCUGUAUCUCUGAAAAAAGCAGCGAGCACUCCUAACCUCUGAGCCAUCCCUCCACUCACCCUCCCCUCUCCCCAGCCACACACCUGAUUUUAUAUAAGAUAUAUAAAAUAUGUACAGGAAGCAGAAAGAAGUCUAGGAGAACAGAGGGGAUUAAUAGGAGGGCCCCUGAGAGGUGAGAAAGGGGAGCGGAGAGCUCUGGAGAGUGUGCUUAAGGAGCAUUGUACGUCUACAUGAAAAUGUUCUUACAUAGCACAGUACCACCUACAAUGAGUGUGUGCUAGUGGGAACACACACACACACACACACACACACACACACACACACACACAUUGAGACAAGGUCCCUAAUUUAUUUUAUUUUAUUUUUUCUCAAGACAGGGUUUCUCUGUAGCCCUGCUGUCCUGGAACUUACUGUGUAGACCACACUGGCCUCAAACUCACAGAGAUCCACCUGCCUCUGCCUCCUGCAUGCUGGGAUUAAGGUAUAUGCCACCACUGCCUGGCUUGAGAUAAGGUCUCUACAUAGCUUGGUCUGUCCUGGAAGUUACUAUGUAGACCAGGCUGGCCUUCAACUACAGAGGUCCACCUGCCUCUGCUUCCCAAGUUCUGGGAUUAAAAGUGAGUACCACCACAGCUGACCUUCUCCAAUCUAUUUUGUUAGCUAGUAGAAUAGCAAGAUGGCUUUGGGGGCAGGGCUGUUGGUACACCCAAGGAUUUUUUUCUAUCUAUUUUAGGAACUUAGAAAAAUAACAAAUCAAACUCAAAUGAAAUGAGAGGAGGAGGAGUUAAUAACUAUAAGACAAAAUUCAUGAGAUAGGAGAGAAAGGACAAUAGAAAAACAAACUGAGCCAGUAGUCUACUCUAAAAAUACCCAUGGAGGCUCUAUUUUCGUGGCAGUCCAUGAAGCUGAAUAUAUCCUUCCCAGCCACUGGCUGUCAGAAACUCACCCAAGCAGAGGAAGAAUGAAAACUUUACACUUUCUGAGAAGCACAUGGCCACAGAAGUAGUUGCUGAUGCUCUGGGUGAAGAGUGGAAGGGUUAUAUAGUCCCAAUCAGUGGUGGGAACCACCAACAAGGUUUUCCCAGGAAGCAAGGCUCAUGACUCAUGGCAGAGUGUGCCUGCUGUUGAGUAAGGGGCAUUCUUGUGUUGUAGACCAAGAAAAACUACAGAGGAAGUGCAAGUCUGGUUAUUCAUUGUGGAUGCUAAUCUGAAUGUUCUCAAUGUGGUUAUUGUAAAAGGAAGAAGAAGAAGAAGAAGAAGAAGAAGAAGAAGAAGAAGAAGAAGAAGAAGAAGAAGAAGAAGAAGAAGAAGAAGAACUCCUGGACUGACAGAUAACUAUGGUGCCUUGGCAGCUGGGGCUAGAAGAAGCUAGCAGAAUCUGAAAGGUUUUCAAUCUCUCUAAAGUUGAUGUCUGCCGAUACGUUGUCAGAAAGCCCUUCAAGAAGGUAAGAAGGAUAAUGCUUUUUGAACUGAGGUACCGGAGAAGCAGAACCUACGUUCAAGAUCCUGGCAAUGCCUGACCUUGGCUGAGAGCAUGUUGACUUUGGAGAUGGAAAGCUACAGUCUCUUGUAACUCCGACUUAACUUUGAACAGAUCAUCCUCCUGCCGCUACCUCUCACAGGCUUCAAUUACACAUGUGGGCCACCACUAGAAGAUGUGGCUUUGUUGGAGUGGGUAUGGCCUUGCUGAAGGAAGUAUGUCACUGUGGAAGUGGGCUUUGAGGUUUCCUAUGCUCAGGAUACUACCCAGUGUCUCAGACAACUUCCUCUUGCCCACAGGAUGUACGACUCUGAGUUAUUCCUUCAUGCAUGCUGCCAUGCUCCUUGCCACGAUGAUAACAGACUGAACCUCUGAAAGUGUAAGCCAGUCCCCUCAAUUAAAUGUUUUCUUUAUAAGAGUUGCCGUCAUGGGUGUCUUUUCACAGUAAUAGAAAACCCUAAUAAAGAUA
This is a long non-coding RNA of Peromyscus californicus insignis, 2394 nucleotides long. RefSeq lists it as uncharacterized. Lineage: Eukaryota; Metazoa; Chordata; Mammalia; Rodentia; Cricetidae. The transcript is spliced from 3 exons. The record is from RefSeq and is a predicted model, not a curated record.